AGGAAAAAGAACAGGGAAAUGCUCAAUCAGAGAGGGUCUGUUCACAGAUCCUCUUUAAACAAAGCUGUCUUCCAUGGACAAAGUAACCGCCUGCUAGCUGGCUGUAAAGGAGCUCAGUUCCUCAAUCAAGGUAAGACAAGCAGACUGACAGGAAAUGGAGGCAGAAGUGUAGUGUGCAUGUUGCUUAGGGAACAAAGUUCUUUACCUUAUUCCUCAUCGCCCUCAGAAGAUCCCGCACGGAGCCUCCUUUGUAGGAUCUGAAUUUUCGAAGAUCUGCAAGAGAAAUGACAGGAUUUCUGCUUGUGCUUUGGUGCAGUUUUAGUUGCUGGCUUCAAGUCAGCUGCUUGACUAUAGGCCCAUCUAAAGUUUCUUUCUCUAUCCGGUCACUAACAUCCU
Neopsephotus bourkii (Bourke's parrot) is the source of this 396-nucleotide long non-coding RNA. RefSeq lists it as uncharacterized. The transcript has 2 exons. NCBI's taxonomy places the organism in Eukaryota, Metazoa, Chordata, Aves, Psittaciformes, Psittacidae. The record is from RefSeq and is a predicted model, not a curated record.